GACGAACGCUGGCGGCGUGCUUAACACAUGCAAGUCGAACGGAAAGGCCCUGCUUUUGUGGGGUGCUCGAGUGGCGAACGGGUGAGUAACACGUGAGUAACCUGCCCUUGACUUUGGGAUAACUUCAGGAAACUGGGGCUAAUACCGGAUAGGAGCUCCUGCUGCAUGGUGGGGGUUGGAAAGUUUCGGCGGUUGGGGAUGGACUCGCGGCUCAUCAGCUUGUUGGUGGGGUAGUGGCUUACCAAGGCUUUGACGGGUAGCCGGCCUGAGAGGGUGACCGGCCACAUUGGGACUGAGAUACGGCCCAGACUCCUACGGGAGGCAGCAGUGGGGAAUAUUGCACAAUGGGCGGAAGCCUGAUGCAGCAACGCCGCGUGCGGGAAGACGGCCUUCGGGUUGUAAACCGCUUUCGCCUGUGACGAAGCGUGAGUGACGGUAAUGGGUAAAGAAGCACCGGCUAACUACGUG
Molecule: ribosomal RNA, 468 nt
Filed under: uncultured bacterium
Lineage: Bacteria
Description: partial 16S ribosomal RNA
Rfam family: Bacterial small subunit ribosomal RNA
Source: RNAcentral